CAGCCGCCGCGGUAAUACGAAGGGUGCAAGCGUUAAUCGGAAUUACUGGGCGUAAAGCGUGCGUAGGCGGUUUGUUAAGUCUGCUGUGAAAUCCCCGGGCUCAACCUGGGAAUGGCAGUGGAUACUGGCAAGCUAGAGUGUGUCAGAGGAUGGUGGAAUUCCCGGUGUAGCGGUGAAAUGGGUAGAGAUCGGGAGGAACAUCAGUGGCGAAGGCGGCCAUCUGGGACAACACUGACGCUGAGGCACGAAAGCGUGGGGAGCAAACAGGAUUAGAUACCCCGGUAGUCCCUGUCUCUUAUAC
RNAcentral lists this ribosomal RNA (301 nucleotides) under uncultured bacterium. RNAcentral's name for it is "partial 16S ribosomal RNA". It matches the Rfam family "Bacterial small subunit ribosomal RNA", at positions 509 to 807 of the family's 1533-position model. The record is from RNAcentral.